CUCCUCUCAGGACUGCAUCUGGAGAGUUUCCAGUACUUUACCAGUCUUGGUUAUGGGAGGGAGAGUCAAGCAGAGACGUACCCAUUCCAUUCCUAGCUUGGCCCGUGGUUAACGAGUGGAAGGCGAUCUGCCACAAGU
This is a small nucleolar RNA of Tachyglossus aculeatus (Australian echidna), 138 nucleotides long. The record is from RefSeq and is a predicted model, not a curated record. Lineage: Eukaryota; Metazoa; Chordata; Mammalia; Monotremata; Tachyglossidae.